GGAACCGUGAGACAGGUGCUGCAUGGCUGUCGUCAGCUCGUGUUGUGAAAUGUUGGGUUAAGUCCCGCAACGAGCGCAACCCUUAUCCUUUGUUGCCAGCGGUCCGGCCGGGAACUCAAAGGAGACUGCCAGUGAUAAACUGGAGGAAGGUGGGGAUGACGUCAAGUCAUCAUGGCCCUUACGACCAGGGCUACACACGUGCUACAAUGGCGCAUACAAAGAGAAGCGACCUCGCGAGAGCAAGCGGACCUCAUAAAGUGCGUCGUAGUCCGGAUUGGAGUCUGCAACUCGACUCCAUGAAGUCGGAAUCGCUAGUAAUCGUGGAUCAGAAUGCCACGGUGAAUACGUUCCCGGGCCUUGUACACACCGCCCGUCACACCAUGGGAGUGGGUUGCAAAAGAAGUAGGUAGCUUAACCUUCGGGAGGGCGCUUACCACUUUGUGAUUCAUGACUGGGGUGAAGUCGUAACAAGGUAACCGUAGGGGAACCUGCGGUUGGAUCAC
Molecule: ribosomal RNA, 503 nt
Filed under: Escherichia coli
Lineage: Bacteria; Pseudomonadati; Pseudomonadota; Gammaproteobacteria; Enterobacterales; Enterobacteriaceae
Also listed under: 1 other name
Description: bacterial SSU rRNA
Rfam family: Bacterial small subunit ribosomal RNA
Source: RNAcentral